CGGCAGGCUUAAUACAUGCAAGUUGAGGGGCAGCAUGAUAUACGCGAGUAUAUUGAUGGCGACCGGCGGACGGGUGAGUAAUAGGUAGGUAACCUACCUCAUACUGAGGCAUAGCUGGGAGAAAUUCCAGGUAAUUCCUCAUGAGGUUAUAUGACACAUGUGAUAUAAUCAAAGGUAUCGCAAGGUACUGGUAUGAGAUGGGCUUACUGACCAUUAGCUAGUUGGUGAGAUAAGAGCUCACCAAGGCGAAGAUGGUUAGGGGUUUUGAGAGAGAGAUCCCCCACAUUGGAACUGAGAUACGGUCCAGACUCCUACGGGAGGCAGCAGUAGGGAAUAUUGGGCAAUGGGCGGAAGCCUGACCCAGCCAUGCCGCGUGAAGGAAGACGGCCUUAUGGGUUGUAAACUUCUUUACUAUGCGACUAACUAGAUUUACGAGAUAAUUCUAUAGAAUGUAGCAUAGCAAAAAGCACCGGCUAACUCCGUG
This 484-nucleotide ribosomal RNA is filed under the name uncultured bacterium. Its description in RNAcentral is "bacterial SSU rRNA". It matches the Rfam family "Bacterial small subunit ribosomal RNA", at positions 40 to 507 of the family's 1533-position model. The record is from RNAcentral.